Podarcis lilfordi (Lilford's wall lizard) is the source of this 64-nucleotide non-coding RNA. NCBI's taxonomy places the organism in Eukaryota, Metazoa, Chordata, Lepidosauria, Squamata, Lacertidae. The record is from the annotation of a GenBank genome assembly.
GGUUCAGUGGCAGAGCAUCUGCCUCACAUGCAGAAGGUCCCAGGUUCAAAUCCCAACAUCUCCC